This 72-nucleotide transfer RNA is filed under the name Bacteroidota bacterium. RNAcentral describes it as "Bacteroidetes bacterium (biofilm metagenome) tRNA-Met". It matches the Rfam family "tRNA". From Rfam's summary of the family: Transfer RNA (tRNA) molecules are approximately 80 nucleotides in length. Their secondary structure includes four short double-helical elements and three loops (D, anti-codon, and T loops). The record is from RNAcentral. Lineage: Bacteria; Pseudomonadati; Bacteroidota.
UGCGGGGUGGAGCAGUGGUAGCUCGUCGGGCUCAUAACCCGAAGGUCAAAGGUUCGAGUCCUUUCCCCGCUA